RNAcentral lists this transfer RNA (61 nucleotides) under Geminigera cryophila. It matches the Rfam family "tRNA", at positions 2 to 61 of the family's 71-position model. From Rfam's summary of the family: Transfer RNA (tRNA) molecules are approximately 80 nucleotides in length. Their secondary structure includes four short double-helical elements and three loops (D, anti-codon, and T loops). Further hydrogen bonds mediate the characteristic L-shaped molecular structure. tRNAs have two regions of fundamental functional importance: the anti-codon, which is responsible for specific mRNA codon recognition, and the 3' end, to which the tRNAs corresponding amino acid is attached (by aminoacyl-tRNA synthetases). tRNAs cope with the degeneracy of the genetic code in two manners: having more than one tRNA (with a specific anti-codon) for a particular amino acid; and 'wobble' base-pairing, i.e. permitting non-standard base-pairing at the 3rd anti-codon position. The record is from RNAcentral. Lineage: Eukaryota; Cryptophyceae; Pyrenomonadales; Geminigeraceae. RNAcentral also lists the same sequence under 1 other name.
GGGAUGUAACGCAGGGGUAGCGUGUUUGCUUUGCACGCAAAAAGUCGUGGGUUCGAAUCUU